Molecule: non-coding RNA, 1547 nt
Organism: Manis javanica (Malayan pangolin)
Lineage: Eukaryota; Metazoa; Chordata; Mammalia; Pholidota; Manidae
Source: RefSeq, a predicted model, not a curated record
CACAUGCACUCAGGGUGGCCCUGAAUAAAUGCUAAUGCUGUGAAACUUACUAUGUAGCUCAGAAGUUUUCGAACUCCACGAAGUAUUUUGUGGUUCAAAAGCUUCCUGCAGUGCCUUCUGAGCCCUGUUCCUGGGAUUGUCAGAAAGUCACUGGACUCCCUGGGUCUCCAGUACCUCAACUAUGACACGGAUGGUGAUUGUCCUGUGCUUCUGGAAGCUUAUCUUGAGAGUGAGGAGAGAUUGCAUAUGCCACCCUGUAUAAACUAAACUCUACAGGAUGCCUGGGCCACAACUAGCAGCAGAUUCAGCAGGUCUAAAAAGCUACUUGCAUCCAUUGCCGGUAUGCCAUGCCCACUCUCCAGGAGAGAACCCUGUCUUCAGGGCAUGGUCUCUAUUCUUCAGAUUUACAAAGUGAGAUUCAGAGAACCUCAAGACCACCUGGAACCCUUAGGAAAUUUCACAUAAUUGUACCAAGUAUGAACCUAAGGUUUUCCAGUCUUUCUGGGACUGACAGUCAUGCAGGACAGAUUUCCUCGGAGGAGCUCACAUGUUACUCAUCCGCCAUUAGCAGAGAGGGCCUGCUGGAGCAGUGGGCCAAAGCAAGCCCAUUUACCCAUGGGACAGAUGUCAUCACACUGUCUGGGGCCUCUCUCAGGUGGGCAAGAUCUAAGAUACCGCUCCACGUCCACUGUGUUUCCUUUAACUUUCGUACCAGCCCUGAUCAAAGGGGAGCAUUGGUGGUUAUGCACACUGCAUUGCAGUUAAGGUGAUGACUUUGACUGGAAUCAGAGGUGGGAAAGUUCAUGGGAUAGAAAAUGAAACAGCAUCCUAUGAGCACAGUCGUUCUGCCUGGGAGAGGCAUGAACCUUUAUCCACGUGCCAACCUUUCAUCUCACUGAAGAUCAGAGCUACAUGUCAUUUCAUUUGCAGAGGAACACUUCUUGAGAAGCAUCUGGUGAAGUGAUGUACCCAUCCAAUUGUUGUGUGCAGCUGGGAAGGCUUCAGUAACUGGGAAAAGCAAGUGACCAGCCCACCACACUGGGCACCACAUAGAGCUCAUUGCAGUGCUCAGGAGCCCUGUGUGAAUCUGUAUGCAUUACCUAAGGGCUGCUCUGGAUACGUCUCAGGGAGACCUUUUAAGAAGACACAGGUACACCUGCCAUCAGGAAGGCGCUCAUAGUCCGGUUGCAGGGAAAUAAGGCAAUGACUCAUCUCAGGACAAGUGGAAAAGAUAAGGGCUUGGGAGGCACUAAGUGCUUGGUGUCUGACACCCAAGUAGUGGAGCUUGGAACCAGAGACCAAACAGAUGCUGGAAAUGCCAUCUUGGCCACUACCACCCUUUCCUCCAUGCCUUCCUGUCAGGGCAAUGCCAGAGAAAGGAUCCAGGGCUACCUUGAGAGGUCAGGUCAGGACAGUUGAGGAAUGACAAGCCAAGAAACUGGGAGAAGAAGCAGUAGGAUGAAGGUUGGAGAGGCAGGGAGAGGGCAGAAGCAGCACAGGAAGUCAAAAGUUAAGUAGGUGAGACAUUAUAUGAGUUAAAGUGCAGG